CCUACGGGUGGCAGCAGUGAGGAAUAUUGGUCAAUGGCCGCAGGGCUGAACCAGCCAAGUCGCGUGAGGGAUGACGGUCCUAUGGAUUGUAAACCUCUUUUGUCAGGGAGCAAAGGGCGCCACGUGUGGCGCUUUGCGAGUACCUGAAGAAAAAGCAUCGGCUAACUCCGUGCCAGCAGCCGCGGUAAUACGGAGGAUGCGAGCGUUAUCCGGAUUUAUUGGGUUUAGAGGGUGCGCAGGCGGAAUGUCAAGUCAGCGGUAAAAUUUCGGGGCUCAACCCCGUCGUGCCGUUGAAACUGGCGUUCUUGAGUGAGCGAGAAGUAUGCGGAAUGCGUGGUGUAGCGGUGAAAUGCAUAGAUAUCGCGCAGAACUCCGAUUGCGAAGGCAGCAUGCCGGCUCCACACUGACGCUGAGGCACGAAAGCGUGGGUAUCGAACAGGAUUAGAUACCCUAGUAGUC
Molecule: ribosomal RNA, 459 nt
Filed under: uncultured bacterium
Lineage: Bacteria
Description: partial 16S ribosomal RNA
Rfam family: Bacterial small subunit ribosomal RNA
Source: RNAcentral